Molecule: ribosomal RNA, 376 nt
Filed under: uncultured bacterium
Lineage: Bacteria
Description: bacterial SSU rRNA
Rfam family: Bacterial small subunit ribosomal RNA
Source: RNAcentral
CGGUACGAGGGGGAACCCCUGCUCCGCAAUGCCGCGUGAGUGAUGAAGGCCUUCGGGUUGUAAAGCUCUUUUGUCAGGGACGAUGAUGACGGUACCUGACGAAUAAGCUCCGGCUAACUUCGUGCCAGCAGCCGCGGUAAUACGAGGGGAGCUAGCGUUGUUCGGAAUUACUGGGCGUAAAGGGCGCGUAGGCGGUUCUAUAAGUCAGAUGUGAAAGCCCCGGGCUUAACCUGGGAGGUGCAUUUGAAACUGUAGGGCUUGAGAUCGAGAGAGGAAAGUGGAAUUACGAGUGUAGAGGUGAAAUUCGUAGAUAUUCGUAAGAACACGGGGUGGGGAAGGCGACUUUCUGGCUCGAUACUGACGCUAAGGCGCGAAA